UACGAAGGGGGCUAGCGUUGUUCGGAAUCACUGGGCGUAAAGCGCACGUAGGCGGAUUUUUAAGUCAGGGGUGAAAUCCCGGGGCUCAACCUCGGAACUGCCUUUGAUACUGGAGAUCUUGAGUCCGGAAGAGGGAAGUGGAACUGCGAGUGUAGAGGUGAAAUGCGUAGAUAUUCGCAAGAACACCAGUGGCGAAGGCGGCUUACUGGUCCGGAACUGACGCUGAGGUGCGAAAGCGUGGGGAGCAAACAGG
RNAcentral lists this ribosomal RNA (253 nucleotides) under uncultured bacterium. RNAcentral's name for it is "partial 16S ribosomal RNA". It matches the Rfam family "Bacterial small subunit ribosomal RNA", at positions 524 to 776 of the family's 1533-position model. The record is from RNAcentral.